CAUGAGUACAUUCCCUCAGGCUCCUGCCACCUUUCCAGAGAAGGCACUGGACCAGCCUUGCUGAGUUUCCUUCAGCGUCGACACUCACUUCCUUGAGUUCCUUAUAGCCACGUUUGUGGACUCCGCUCUUUCGUAUCUCCCUCCCAGUUUGGCUUCCUACCUCUGUCUCCAUUGCUUCCAGCUCUUCAGGAUGUGUGAAGACUCAGACACCACGAGCACCGAAGUAGACAUCAGGGAAUCCCAGGAGUGGUUAGCAUUUUCAGCAUUCCUGUGAAAACCAACUGGAAAAAUGAGCACGGGAAGAGCAGACAGAAUUUUUAUGUGGUGUCUUCGUCUCCCAGGAUCUACUCCUGCUACAUAACAUCAGGAUGAGGCGAGAAAUGUGAUGUUUUUCUUGCCAUUUGGAAAGGACAAUUCCAAAUUAGUCUUCUUUCGAAUCCCUUUCCCCACUGACCUCUCCACCAAAAAAAAAAAUAAAAUAAAAAGGGCAUUGGAUCAGAAAGCUGGGCUCCCAACCAAGCUCAGGAAGAAUCUUCCUGCCGCUCCUCCCCUAUCGUGUCUCUCAGAAGCUUUUGGACCACCACAGAAAGGACCUAAAAUGACUUCAUCUCACCAUCUUCAGACAGCUCUUCUGAGUUACGGCUUUGGCAGUGCUGGCAGUGCAAUCAUUUGUCCCCACACCUGUGACUUCUUUGACUAAAAAGAUAAAAUC
RNAcentral lists this long non-coding RNA (712 nucleotides) under Rattus norvegicus (Norway rat). RNAcentral describes it as "long non-coding RNA NONRATT012384". The record is from RNAcentral. Lineage: Eukaryota; Metazoa; Chordata; Mammalia; Rodentia; Muridae.